CAGGGAAAUCCGCCCGAAAGUUCACCGAUAUUUCUUCAAUAGAGGAAGCAAAAGUCGUAACAAGGUAGCUGUAGGUGAACCUGCAGCUGGAUCAUUUUCCGGUCCAAAAAAAACAUAUACAACUCGGGGAGACCUAUGUAUAUAUAUAUGUAGGCCUUUCCUACCCCCAAAAAACAACUACAACAGUCUUUGCCGCUUGACGAGCACGCCUUUCGAGACGUCUCGUGGAGCACGGCCCCAACAACGUGUCGCGAUGGAUGACUUGAUUCGGUUUUUGGCGGGGUGGGUGCGUGUGUGGAUAACGGCUCACAUAACGUGUCGCGAUGGAUGACUUGG
This 336-nucleotide ribosomal RNA is filed under the name uncultured Leishmania. RNAcentral describes it as "partial 18S ribosomal RNA". The stretch from base 1 to 97 matches the Rfam family "Eukaryotic small subunit ribosomal RNA", at positions 1735 to 1831 of the family's 1831-position model. Lineage: Eukaryota; Euglenozoa; Kinetoplastea; Trypanosomatida; Trypanosomatidae. The record is from RNAcentral.